RNAcentral lists this ribosomal RNA (424 nucleotides) under uncultured bacterium. RNAcentral's name for it is "bacterial SSU rRNA". It matches the Rfam family "Bacterial small subunit ribosomal RNA", at positions 355 to 776 of the family's 1533-position model. The record is from RNAcentral.
UAAGGAAUAUUGGUCAAUGGGGGCAACCCUGAACCAGCCAUGCCGCGUGCAGGAUGACUGCCCUACGGGUUGUAAACUGCUUUUGUCAGGGAAUAAACCUUUCCACGAGUGGGAAGCUGAAUGUACCUGAAGAAUAAGGAUCGGCUAACUCCGUGCCAGCAGCCGCGGUAAUACGGAGGAUCCGAGCGUUAUCCGGAUUUAUUGGGUUUAAAGGGUGCGUAGGCGGCCAUUUAAGUCAGAGGUGAAAUACGGCAGCUCAACUGUCGCAGUGCCUUUGAUACUGAGUGGCUUGAAUUCUGUUGAAGAUGGCGGAAUGAGACAAGUAGCGGUGAAAUGCAUAGAUAUGUCUCAGAACACCGAUUGCGAAGGCAGCUGUCUAAGCAGCGAUUGACGCUGAUGCACGAAAGCGUGGGGAUCGAACAGG